GACGAACGCUGGCGGCGUGCCUAAUACAUGCAAGUAGGACGCACAGUUUAUACCGUAGCUUGCUACACCAUAGACUGUGAGUUGCGAACGGGUGAGUAACGCGUAGGUAACCUGCCUAUUAGAGGGGGAUAACUAUUGGAAACGAUAGCUAAUACCGCAUAACAGUAUGUAACACAUGUUAGAUGCUUGAAAGAUGCAAUUGCAUCGCUAGUAGAUGGACCUGCGUUGUAUUAGCUAGUAGGUAGGGUAAUGGCCUACCUAGGCGACGAUACAUAGCCGACCUGAGAGGGUGAUCGGCCACACUGGGACUGAGACACGGCCCAGACUCCUACGGGAGGCAGCAGUAGGGAAUCUUCGGCAAUGGGGGGAACCCUGACCGAGCAACGCCGCGUGAGUGAAGAAGGUUUUCGGAUCGUAAAGCUCUUUUGUUAAGGAAGAAACGAGUGUGAGAAUGGAAAGUUCAU
Molecule: ribosomal RNA, 464 nt
Filed under: Streptococcus anginosus
Lineage: Bacteria; Bacillati; Bacillota; Bacilli; Lactobacillales; Streptococcaceae
Description: bacterial SSU rRNA
Rfam family: Bacterial small subunit ribosomal RNA
Source: RNAcentral